This 613-nucleotide long non-coding RNA is filed under the name Coturnix japonica (Japanese quail). RNAcentral describes it as "lncRNA (ENSCJPG00005014769.1)". The record is from RNAcentral. Lineage: Eukaryota; Metazoa; Chordata; Aves; Galliformes; Phasianidae.
AAUGGGACUAAGCGCACAAAAACUGUGCAGCAGCCUUGCCUUUACCUGAAGAUAUUGCAGGAAAAUCUGAUUUCUCUGUUAAAAUAAGAAAAUGCUGAAGCAAGUGACAUGAAAAAGCACACAUUAUUGCAUAGACAUGAAAACAGGGAAGGAAAAUAUUAGCUCAUAUAGUGGAUCUUGUAGAGCUGUUUGCCAGUGGUUUCCUUCUCUUUUCUUGAGCACCUGACUCAUCUGUAAGUACAAAGUUGAUUACUGUCUUUAUAUGGACAAGCCUCAGAUCAAUCUCUCUGUUCCAGAUCCAUCUGCUUGUGUCCAAAUGAAAUCUCAGCCUGGCUGUCUUGCAUUUCCUCUUGAUGUGUCAUCCUCAGCUCCAGUUCAAGGAAGAAAAAACUCAGCUGUUCAUUCUUCAUCACAACACUUAGCUGUUAAUCAACAAUCUCUCCCUCUUUUGGAGCAGCUCUGCUGUUCUUUCUAGAAUACAGACAGUGGGUGGCUGAAUAGCAUUCUUAUGGGGAGGCUCCAGCUGACUUCCAUGGAAGCAAGACUAGGAUCAGUGUGACUUCCAUUCUGGAAGUUGGACCUUCCUAUUCACACAAAGGCCUCCAGUGCCACA